Molecule: ribosomal RNA, 249 nt
Filed under: uncultured bacterium
Lineage: Bacteria
Description: partial 16S ribosomal RNA
Rfam family: Bacterial small subunit ribosomal RNA
Source: RNAcentral
UGAGUCCUACGGGAGGCAGCAGUGGGGAAUAUUGCACAAUGGGGGGAACCCUGAUGCAGCGACGCCGCGUGAAGGAAGAAGUAUUUCGGUAUGUAAACUUCUAUCAGCAGGGAAGAAAAAGGACGGUACCUGACUAAGAAGCCCCGGCUAACUACGUGCCAGCAGCCGCGGUAAUACGUAGGGGGCGAGCGUUAUCCGGAUUUACUGGGUGUAAAGGGAGCGUAGACGGCUGCGCAAGUCAGAAGUGAA